RNAcentral lists this ribosomal RNA (497 nucleotides) under uncultured bacterium. RNAcentral describes it as "partial 16S ribosomal RNA". It matches the Rfam family "Bacterial small subunit ribosomal RNA", at positions 28 to 507 of the family's 1533-position model. The record is from RNAcentral.
GAUGAAUGCUGGCGGCGUGCCUAAUACAUGCAAGUCGAGCGAACGGACGAGAAGCUUGCUUCUCUGAUGUUCGCGGCGGACGGGUGAGUACCACGUGGCUAACCUACCUAUAAUACUGGGAUCACUUCGGGAAACCGGCGCUAAUACCGGAUAAUAUUUUGAACCGCAUGGUUCAAAAGUGAUAGACGGUCUUGCUGUCACUUAUAGAUGGAUCCGCGCUGCAUUAGCUAGUUGGUAAGGUAACGGCUUACCAAGGCAACGAUGCAUAGCCGACCUGAGAGGGUGAUCGGCCACACGGGAACUGAGACACGGUCCAGACUCCUACGGGAGGCAGCAGUAGGGAAUCUUCCGCAAUGGGCGAAAGCCUGACGGAGCAACGCCGCGUGAGUGAUGAAGGUCUUCGGAUCGUAAAACUCUGUUAUUAGGGAAGAACAUAUGUGUAAGUAACUGUGCACAUCUUGACGGUACCUAAUCAGAAAGCCACGGCUAACUACGUG